AGCAGUAGGGAAUCUUCCACAAUGGACGCAAGUCUGAUGGAGCAACGCCGCGUGGGUGAAGAAGGGUUUCGGCUCGUAAAGCUCUGUUGGUAGUGAAGAAAGAUAGAGGUAGUAACUGGCCUUUAUUUGACGGUAAUUACCUAGAAAGUCACGGCUAACUACGUGCCAGCAGCCGCGGUAAUACGUAGGUGGCAAGCGUUGUCCGGAUUUAUUGGGCGUAAAGCGAGUGCAGGCGGUUCAAUAAGUCUGAUGUGAAAGCCUUCGGCUCAACCGGAGAAUUGCAUCAGAAACUGUUGAACUUGAGUGCAGAAGAGGAGAGUGGAACUCCAUGUGUAGCGGUGGAAU
Molecule: ribosomal RNA, 345 nt
Filed under: Lactobacillus taiwanensis
Lineage: Bacteria; Bacillati; Bacillota; Bacilli; Lactobacillales; Lactobacillaceae
Description: bacterial SSU rRNA
Rfam family: Bacterial small subunit ribosomal RNA
Source: RNAcentral